UGGCUGAGCGGUAAAGCGCUUGGCUUCCGAACCGGGGGUCCCGGGUUCAAAUCCUGG
Molecule: non-coding RNA, 57 nt
Organism: Biomphalaria glabrata
Lineage: Eukaryota; Metazoa; Mollusca; Gastropoda; Planorbidae
Source: Rfam